Molecule: ribosomal RNA, 502 nt
Filed under: uncultured bacterium
Lineage: Bacteria
Description: bacterial SSU rRNA
Rfam family: Bacterial small subunit ribosomal RNA
Source: RNAcentral
GGCUCAGGAUGAACGCUGGCGGCGUGCUUAAUACAUGCAAGUCGAACGAAGCACUUUGACAGAUCCCCGUCGGGGUGAAGAUGAUUGUGACUUAGUGGCGGACGGGUGAGUAACGCGUGGGGAACCUGCCUCGUGCUGGGGGGAUAACAGUUAGAAAUGACUGCUAAUACCGCAUAAGCGCACAGUAAGGCAUCUUACAGUGUGAAAAGAUUUAUCGGCAUGAGAUGGACCCGCGUCUGAUUAGGUAGUUGGCGGGGUAACGGCCCACCAAGCCCGCGAUCAGUAGCCGACUUGAGAGAGUGAUCGGCCACAUUGGGACUGAGACACGGCCCAGACUCCUACGGGAGGCAGCAGUAGGGAAUAUUGCACAAUGGGGGAAACCCUGAUGCAAGCGACGCCGCGUGAGUGAUGAAGUAUUUCGGUAACGUAAAACUCUAUCAGCAGGGAAGAUAAUGACGGUACCUGACUAAGAAGCCCCGGCUAACUACGUGCCAGCCGCAGC